CUCUAAAUAUUCGACCAAAAUGUCAAAUAAACAAACGCAUGGUUGAUCGAUCAAUCAGUCUAGAGAAAUCGAAGUUAUUUAUUACAAAAAUUCCAUAAAUCAAUGCCGUUGUAAGAUAUUUCAUGCGAAAGUGAUGGCUGCUGUGGGUGAUUUUGAAAGCGAACUUUGUUGGUGUAUAGAGCAGUUAAUGUUAAAUUUAAAGCAUGUCAAACCAGAUUCAAAACAAGCUGUUGAUACCAGUAAGGUUUUAAAAAUACUACAAAGUAGUAAAGCACCAUUAGUAAAGAAGCGUCAAGCAAUGAGGAUUACAUUUGGUGAUUACAGACAAAAAAUGAAAGAUGAAGCUGCUAGUAGUUCAAAAGCAGCCCAAAAUAUGAAGUUUGAGACUCCAGAUAAAGAGACAAAGAAAAAAUCUCAGUUUUAUAAUAAAAGUAGAAAAAGUCAUCAAAUGAAAGAAAACUGUGCUAAUGGUGAAAAUUCACAAGUUGGUGAAUCUGAAAACAGUGACACAAAGUUGAAUUUUUCAUCAUCAUCGAAUGAUUUUAAAUUUUCUUUUCCCAUUGAGAAAGACACUAUAGUGGAUACAAAUGAUGACAAUGAAAAUUCUAGUAUGCUUACGUCUACCGCCAGUUGUGAAGAUAAAUCUGAUUUCCAUUUUGUGAAGUCUGAUAAUUCUUUCAAGUUUGAUUUCAAGAUAUCUUAAUUUGUAUUUUGUUUGUAAAUUGUAUAUAAACUAUUUGGAAGAAUAAAGGUGGAAAUAUAAAGCUUGUUUUUCGUACAGUAAUUGAAUAUGAAGCAUACCUGAAUAUAAAUUAACUUUUAUACACCCACCUUGAAAUGUGUCCAUAAAUUGCUGUCACCCCAAUCUGUUCCGAGAUCCACAAUGUAUUGUGAAAACUCUACAGAUGACAUUAUCAAUCGAUCUAUUUAAAAUUUAUAUGCAUUGUUUACAUUAGUGAGACAUCGAAGCCUAGUUAAUUUCUUCUAUUUCAUCAAAAGUUUUUUCCCUUGGUGAAUGUUCUGGCAACAAGAGUUAUCAUCCAGUCUAUUUCAAAUGUAUAUUUGCAUUGUUCAAUUUAGCAAAAAGAUGUCUAUUGAAUUGCAACAAUUUCUGUUAAUUCCUUAGUGCCCUUCCUUCCUUUGUUGAAACAUGCAAAUGGUGUGAAAGUUAUCAUCUAACCUACUUAUGUUCUUUGUUUCAAUUACUUAUAUAGUUAUUGACCUUGACUAUAUUGAAUCUAGUCAAUACAGGAUGCAGAGUUUGGUUUUUAUUUUCCGAAAGAUUCACAAUGAAACAACCUUUAUGGACUGCUGUGGGUGUAUGUUGUGUUUUCUGGCAACCCAUAUUUCCCCAUUACUGUGCAUGUCAAAUUUAUCAGACUCAGUGUGUGUGAAACUAUUUGUUAUGGUAUCCUUUUCUCUGCAAAGAUCACACUUGCCAGAAGCAUACACCAAAUCCCACUUGGUAAUUACCUCCACCAAAGACCAUAUUUAUUUCUUCAAAAACUUUGUGGGAUUGAGCUUUUGUAAACGGGGGGUGGGGGGGGGUCUAACGCGUGUAUGUAAAAUCGUAAGGUCUGCCAUUUAAUCAAGUGGCAUGGUUUCAAUUCCCCGCUUGUACAUGACAUAGAUUAGGUCCUGUUUACCCCCACUGCUAAAGACCCCUAUGUGCAAGCGAAAUACUGAAAUAAAAUUAAACCCUGUUAGUCCCGCAAUGACCUAGUUUGUGUUUAGUGGACGUUAAACCCCAUUUCUCUCUCUUUUGCGAACAAGUCCUAUCCAAGUUAGAGUUCAUGUAACAAUUACUAGUUGGUUUACAUAUUUAUGUAUUCAUCUUAGCAUUCGGGUUAAUAUUUAGCUGUUCAAUUUGCAUUAUCUGUGCUAUAUUUGUUGUAUAUUUUGUUGAGCACUUGUGCUGCACUGUCUGUUCAAAUG
Molecule: long non-coding RNA, 1935 nt
Organism: Patella vulgata (common limpet)
Lineage: Eukaryota; Metazoa; Mollusca; Gastropoda; Patellidae
Exons: 4
Source: RefSeq, a predicted model, not a curated record